RNAcentral lists this ribosomal RNA (838 nucleotides) under uncultured bacterium. RNAcentral describes it as "partial 16S small subunit ribosomal RNA". It matches the Rfam family "Bacterial small subunit ribosomal RNA", at positions 56 to 882 of the family's 1533-position model. The record is from RNAcentral.
UGNNAGUCGUACGGCAGCGCAAGAGAGCUUGCUCUCUUGGCGGCGAGUGGCGGACGGGUGAGUAACGCGUAGGAAUCUGCCUUGUAGUGGGGGACAACUCGAGGAAAUUCGGGCUAAUACCGCAUAACCUCUACGGAGUAAAGCAGGGGAUCUUCGGACCUUGCGCUAUAAGAUGAGCCUGCGUUAGAUUAGCUUGUUGGUGGGGUAAUGGCCUACCAAGGCAACGAUCUAUAGCUGGUCUGAGAGGACGAUCAGCCACACUGGGACUGAGACACGGCCCAGACUCCUACGGGAGGCAGCAGUCGGGAAUAUUGGACAAUGGGGGCAACCCUGAUCCAGCAAUGCCGCGUGUGUGAAGAAGGCCCUCGGGUUGUAAAGCACUUUCAGUGGGGAAGAAGGUUUUAAGGUUAAUACCCUUGAGAAUUGACGUUACCUACAGAAGANNNNNNGGCUAACUCUGUGCCAGCAGCCGCGGUAAUACAGAGAGUGCGAGCGUUAAUCGGAAUCACUGGGCGUAAAGAGCACGUAGGUGGAUAUUUGAGUCGGAUGUGAAAGCCCCGAGCUUAACUUGGGAACUGCAUCCGAUACUGGGUAUCUAGAGUAUGGUAGAGGGAAGUGGAAUUUUCGGUGUAGCGGUGAAAUGCGUAGAUAUCGGAAGGAACAUCAGUGGCGAANGCGACUUCCUGGAUCAAUACUGACACUGANGUGCGAAAGCGUGGGGGAGCAAACAGGANUAGAGACCCUGGUAGNCCACGCCGUCAACGAUGANAACUAGACGUUGGAGGGGUAACCCUUUAGUGUCGAAGCUAACNCGUUAAGUUCNCNGCCUGGGGNAGUA